RNAcentral lists this ribosomal RNA (377 nucleotides) under uncultured bacterium. Its description in RNAcentral is "partial 16S ribosomal RNA". It matches the Rfam family "Bacterial small subunit ribosomal RNA", at positions 523 to 898 of the family's 1533-position model. The record is from RNAcentral.
AGACGUAGGGGGCGAGCGUUGUCCGGAAUUACUGGGCGUAAAGGGCGUGUAGGCGGCCUUUCAAGUCGGCUGUGAAAUUCCCCGGCUCAACCGGGGGGGUGCAGUCGAAACUGGGGGGCUUGAGUGCAGGAGAGGAGGGUGGAAUUCCCGGUGGAGCGGUGAUAUGCGUAGAUAUCGGGAGGAACACCGGUGGCGAAGGCGACCUUCUGGCCUGUUACUGACGCUGAGGCGCGAAAGCCGGGGGAGCAAACAGGAUUAGACACCCUGGUAGUCCCGGCCGUAAACUCUGGGUACUAGGUGUAGGGGGCGUUGAUGCCUUCGGUGCCGUAGUUAACGCAUUAAGUACCCCGCCUGGGGAGUACGAUCGCAAGGUUGAA